Molecule: ribosomal RNA, 1327 nt
Filed under: uncultured archaeon
Lineage: Archaea
Description: 16S ribosomal RNA
Rfam family: Archaeal small subunit ribosomal RNA
Source: RNAcentral
CCGGCGGACGGCUCAGUAACACGUCGGUAACCUACCCUCGGGAGGGGGAUAACCCCGGGAAACUGGGGCUAAUCCCCCAUAGGCCUGAGGUACUGGAAGGUCCUCAGGCCGAAAGGGCGUAASCGCCCGAGGAUGGGCCGGCGGCCGAUUAGGUAGUUGGUGGGGUAACGGCCCACCAAGCCGAAGAUCGGUACGGGCCAUGAGAGUGGGAGCCCGGAGAUGGACACUGAGACACGGGUCCAGGCCCUACGGGGCGCAGCAGGCGCGAAACCUCCGCAAUGCGGGCAACCGCGACGGGGGGACCCCCAGUGCCGUGGCAAAGCCACGCUUUUCCGGGGUGUAAAAAGCUCCGGGAAUAAGGGCUGGGCAAGGCCGGUGGCAGCCGCCGCGGUAAUACCGGCGGCCCAAGUGGUGGCCACUAUUAUUGGGCCUAAAGCGUCCGUAGCCGGGCCCGUAAGUCCCUGGCGAAAUCCCACGGCUCAACCGUGGGGCUUGCUGGGGAUACUGCGGGCCUUGGGACCGGGAGAGGCCGGGGGUACUCCUGGGGUAGGGGUGAAAUCCUAUAAUCCCAGGAGGACCGCCAGUGGCGAAGGCGCCCGGCUGGAACGGGUCCGACGGUGAGGGACGAAGGCCAGGGGAGCGAACCGGAUUAGAUACCCGGGUAGUCCUGGCUGUAAAGGAUGCGGGCUAGGUGUCGGGCGAGCUUCGGGCUCGCCCGGUGCCGAAGGGAAGCCGUUAAGCCCGCCGCCUGGGGAGUACGGCCGCAAGGCUGAAACUUAAAGGAAUUGGCGGGGGAGCACUACAAGGGGUGGAGCGUGCGGUUUAAUUGGAUUCAACGCCGGGAACCUCACCGGGGGCGACGGCAGGAUGAAGGCCAGGCUGAAGGUCUUGCCGGACACGCCGAGAGGAGGUGCAUGGCCGCCGUCAGCUCGUACCGUGAGGCGUCCACUUAAGUGUGGUAACGAGCGAGACCCGCGCCCCCAGUUGCCAGUCCUCCCCGCUGGGGAGGAGGCACUCUGGGGGGACCGCCGGCGAUAAGCCGGAGGAAGGAGCGGGCGACGGUAGGUCAGUAUGCCCCGAAACCCCCGGGCUACACGCGCGCUACAAUGGGCGGGACGAUGGGAUCCGACCCCGAAAGGGGAAGGGAAUCCCCUAAACCCGCCCCCAGUUCGGAUCGCGGGCUGCAACUCGCCCGCGUGAAGCUGGAAUCCCUAGUAUCCGCGUGUCAUCAUCGCGCGGUGAAUACGUCCCUGCUCCUUGCACACACCGCCCGUCACUCCACCCGAGCGGGGUCUGGGUGAGGCCUGAUCUCUGCGGAGGUCGGGUC